Non-coding RNA from Paramuricea clavata, 73 nucleotides. The record is from the annotation of a GenBank genome assembly. Lineage: Eukaryota; Metazoa; Cnidaria; Anthozoa; Malacalcyonacea; Plexauridae.
GACCGCGCAGCUCAGUUGGCAGAGCAUUGGAUGAGUAUUCCAAAGGUCGUGGAUUCGAUUCCCACCGUGGCCA